GUGUUUUGACAUUCUUUUAAUUUCUUUCUAGCAAAAAGCUGAAUUCCAAGUAGAGAUGCGUUGCUCCAAGUGUCAAAAGAAAGCCUUGCAGAUUGCAGCGGAAACUUACGGUUUGUAUUUACACACUUAAUUCAUCAGCUUUGAUUCAAUUUCAUAUUCGUAUGCAACCAUGUUCUGAAAAUCUGCAGUACAUCAGAUUUUUUUCCUUUCUUUCUUGAUUAUUAUUACAAGCAGCCUCGCAUUCCUGAUUCUCGAGUAUUGGAAACUGUUAAAUCACAUGAAUCCUUAGAAUAGAAUUCCAAAUCAGUACCUUUCGUUCUACUAAUAUUUUGACAAGAGUUGUGGUUUAGAUAGAACGAAGCACAGAAAAUUGUAAGUUGCGUUUAGAAGAAUAAUCCCUUACUAUGGCUUUUAUGGUAGAUUGAGUCGAUGGGUUGAAAGCCGGGGAUUAAUCCCAUGGCAGAGUAAGUUGUUUGAUUGAGCCCACAUCUCCAACUCAUUUAGCCCCCGUUUGCCUUACAAAUUUUCAAAACUUAUUCUUCUUCAAAUUCAUUUUCAACCACACAUUUCAUAGGGACGACAACUUGUCCACAAUUUUUAUUAAAUUUUCAACUGCAUAUUUCAUCAGUUUCAUCAAAAUCUACUAAAUCUCUAAUUUUUAGCUACACCAAAAAGGGCCUUAGUUUGAUCGCAUUGGUAAGUUUGAUUAAUUUUGAUAUAUAUGAUGAAUUUGCAGGUGUGAGCUCUCUAACAUUAGGAGGGCAGAAUAAGAACCAGUUGGUGGUGACUGGAGAAGGGAUGGACAUAACCAAGUUGUGUGUGAGACUAAGGAACAAGAUUGGAUACACACAAAUUGUCAGUGUAUCGGAGGUUAAAUGAAACCAACAUAAGAAAAAUGUCAUCCUAGGAAUCCCAGAGCUUGUUUGCACAAAUUAUUACGUUGUUUUGUAUGUGUCUAUUGUUGAACUCACGUCUAUCAAAUGAAAUAAUUAGUGUAUUAGACUGAACAGACCGGCAUAAAUAUAUACUUCUUAAUCCGUGUCCAUUACUUUUUAGAUUGCUCUUUAAUUUGAUAGGUA
Molecule: long non-coding RNA, 1079 nt
Filed under: Olea europaea subsp. europaea
Lineage: Eukaryota; Viridiplantae; Streptophyta; Magnoliopsida; Lamiales; Oleaceae
Source: RNAcentral